Molecule: long non-coding RNA, 234 nt
Organism: Sander lucioperca (pikeperch)
Lineage: Eukaryota; Metazoa; Chordata; Actinopteri; Perciformes; Percidae
Exons: 4
Source: RefSeq, a predicted model, not a curated record
UUGUGUGUGUGUUUAGUCCAGUUUAUCACCAGGAGGAACACAGACAGAGAACAUUUACACCUUCGGGACAUUUCUGGGGUCUAAUCUGCGCAGCAUGUUUCUGGAUGUUGCUGACUGACUGAUGUUGCUGACUGAUGUUGCUGACUGACUGAUGUUGCUGACUGAUGUUGCUGACUGAUUUGCAGCGUAUGUGAACCAAAGGAUGACUUUCUCACUAGAAAUAGUAAAGAAAAC